Molecule: long non-coding RNA, 695 nt
Filed under: Neogale vison (American mink)
Lineage: Eukaryota; Metazoa; Chordata; Mammalia; Carnivora; Mustelidae
Description: Neovison vison (American mink) lncRNA (ENSNVIG00000000198.1)
Source: RNAcentral
CGAGGAAGCGCUGCGUUCGCCUCGCCAAGUCCAUACACACCUAUAUUCCAGUGCCCCACCCCAGAGCAUGCAGCUCUCUCUCCACGCCUCUCGAGAGUCGUGCCCCCCAACACGUCCGUCACACCCGGCCAUCUUCCCAAAGCCGAGCCCCGCAGCCUUACCCCGACCCCCGAGAGCACACCGCUAGAAAUAAGCCCUCCGCCUCCAGACGACUGAGUGACUCCGAUCGGCGGCAGCCCGUUCGCGACACUUUCGCGUUGCCGUAAAGGGAUACAGGGUCGGAACGAGCGGCGGCGCGGGCGCGCUCCUCGGGGCGGUAAGCGCGCCCCAGGCCUGGCCCGGCUGCUCGGGAGCGCGCCCUAGGGUCCCGCCCUGUCUCGGUCCCGCCUGCCGGCUUCGAACGCUGCGGCUGUCCCUGGCUGGGUCAUCCACACAAGAUUUCAGGACUUACAAAGGUGCAGGUUUGUGCAGAUUUGAAGACCAGUAUCUUACGAGCUUGUAAAACAGCAACAAGUCAGAUGAUCAGAGUAAAUGACGAGUACAAGUCAAAAGUGGCUGAGAUUUCAUUAUUUGGAAGAAGCUGAGCACAUUGGAGGAUUAUGCAGGUAAGAGUUGUUCUUACAGGGGUGCCUGGGUGGCUCAGUGGGUUAAGCCUCUGCCUUUGGCUCAGGUCAUGCAUGAUCCCAGGGUCCUAG